UUGGACAAUGGGGGGAACCCUGAUCCAGUCAUGCCGCGUGUGUGAAGAAGGCCUUUUGGUUGUAAAGCACUUUAAGCGAGGAGGAGGCUACUGGUAUUAAUACUACCGGAUAGUGGACGUUACUCGCAGAAUAAGCACCGGCUAACUCUGUGCCAGCAGCCGCGGUAAUACAGAGGGUGCGAGCGUUAAUCGGAUUUACUGGGCGUAAAGCGUGCGUAGGCGGCUUUUUAAGUCGGAUGUGAAAUCCCUGAGCUUAACUUAGGAAUUGCAUUCGAUACUGGGAGGCUAGAGUAUGGGAGAGGAUGGUAGAAUUCCAGGUGUAGCGGUGAAAUGCGUAGAGAUCUGGAGGAAUACCGAUGGCGAAGGCAGCCAUCUGGCCUAAUACUGACGCUGAGGUACGAAAGCAUGGGGAGCAAACAGGAUUAGAUACCCUGGUAGUCCAUGCCGUAAACGAUGUCUACUAGCCGUUGGGGCCUUUGAGGCUUUAGUGGCGCAGCUAACGCGAUAAGUAGACCGCCUGGGGAG
Molecule: ribosomal RNA, 525 nt
Filed under: uncultured bacterium
Lineage: Bacteria
Description: bacterial SSU rRNA
Rfam family: Bacterial small subunit ribosomal RNA
Source: RNAcentral